AACGAACGCUGGCGGCAUGCCUAACACAUGCAAGUCGAACGAGACCUUCGGGUUUAGUGGCGCACGGGUGCGUAAAGCGUGGGAACCUGCCCUUAGGUUCGGAAUAACUCCCCGGAAGGGGUGCUAAUACCGGAUAAUGUCCUCCGACCAACGGUUUAUCGCCUUUGGAUGGGCUUGGGUUGGAUUGGCUAGUUGGGAGGGUAAAAGGCUACCAAGGCGACGUCCGAUAGCUGGUUUGAGAGGAUGGUCCGCCACACUGGGACUGAGACACGGCCGAGACUACUAGGCGAGGGAGCAGUGGGGAAUAUAGGACAGUGGGCGAAGGCCUGAUCCAGCAAUGCCGCGUGAGUGAUGAAGGUCUUAGGGUUGUAAAGCUAUUUUACCCGGGAUGAUAAUGACAGUACCGGGAGAAUAAGCUCCGGCUAACUCCGUG
This 433-nucleotide ribosomal RNA is filed under the name uncultured bacterium. Its description in RNAcentral is "partial 16S ribosomal RNA". It matches the Rfam family "Bacterial small subunit ribosomal RNA", at positions 29 to 507 of the family's 1533-position model. The record is from RNAcentral.